This 253-nucleotide unclassified non-coding RNA is filed under the name uncultured Alphaproteobacteria bacterium. Its description in RNAcentral is "contains 16S-23S intergenic spacer region". It matches the Rfam family "Bacterial small subunit ribosomal RNA", at positions 524 to 776 of the family's 1533-position model. The record is from RNAcentral. Lineage: Bacteria; Pseudomonadati; Pseudomonadota; Alphaproteobacteria.
UACGGAGGGGGCUAGCGUUGUUCGGAAUCACUGGGCGUAAAGCGCACGUAGGCGGAUUGUUAAGUCAGGGGUGAAAGCCCAGAGCUCAACUCUGGAACUGCCCUUGAUACUGGCAAUCUUGAGUCCGGGAGAGGUGAGUGGAAUUCCUAGUGUAGAGGUGAAAUUCGUAGAUAUUAGGAGGAACACCAGUGGCGAAGGCGGCUCACUGGCCCGGUACUGACGCUGAGGCGCGAAAGCGUGGGGAGCAAACAGG